UACAGAGGGGGCCAGCGUUAUUCGGAAUUACUGGGCGUAAAGCGCGCGUAGGCGGCUUUUCAAGUCGAUUGUGAAAUCCCCGGGCUUAACCUGGGAACUGCAGUCGAGACUGUCUAGCUAGAGUAUGGGAGAGGGAAGUGGAAUUUCAGGUGUAGCGGUGAAAUGCGUAGAUAUCUGAAGGAACAUCAGUGGCGAAAGCGACUUCCUGGACCAAUACUGACGCUCAUGUGCGAAAGCGUGGGGAGCAAACAGG
This 253-nucleotide ribosomal RNA is filed under the name uncultured bacterium. Its description in RNAcentral is "partial 16S ribosomal RNA". It matches the Rfam family "Bacterial small subunit ribosomal RNA", at positions 524 to 776 of the family's 1533-position model. The record is from RNAcentral.